AUUGAACGCUAGCGGGAUGCCUUACACAUGCAAGUCGAACGGAGUGGCGAACGGGUGAGUAAUGUAUCGGAACGUGCCCAGUCGCGGGGGAUAACUACGCGAAAGCGUAGCUAAUACCGCAUACUAUUUGAGCGGCCGCUAUCGGAUUAGCGAGUUGGUGGGGUAACGGCUCACCAAGGCGACGAUCCGUAGCCGGUUUGAGAGGACGACCAGCAACACUGGGACGGAGAACGGGCACGGACUCCUACGGGAGGCAGCAGUGGGGAAUUUUGGACAAUGGGGGAAACCCUGAGUCAGCCAUCCAGCGUGUGCGAUGAAGGCCUUCGGGUUGUAAAGCACUUUUGGAAGGAAAGCGGUACCUGAAGAAUAAGCACCGGCUAACUACGUGCCAGCAGCCGCGGUAAUUC
This 407-nucleotide ribosomal RNA is filed under the name uncultured bacterium. Its description in RNAcentral is "partial 16S ribosomal RNA". It matches the Rfam family "Bacterial small subunit ribosomal RNA", at positions 30 to 526 of the family's 1533-position model. The record is from RNAcentral.